RNAcentral lists this ribosomal RNA (324 nucleotides) under uncultured eukaryote. RNAcentral's name for it is "partial 18S ribosomal RNA". It matches the Rfam family "Eukaryotic small subunit ribosomal RNA", at positions 1470 to 1796 of the family's 1831-position model. The record is from RNAcentral.
CCCUUAGAUGUCCUGGGCUGCACGCGCGCUACACUGAUGUGUCCAGUAAGCACCUAACCUCUUCCGAAAGGAACGGGUAACCUUUGCAAAGCACAUCGUGAUGGGGAUAGAUUAUUGCAAUUAUUAGUCUUGAACGAGGAAUUCCUAGUAAGCACAAGUCAUCAGCUUGUGUUGAUUACGUCCCUGCCCUUUGUACACACCGCCCGUCGCUCCUACCGAUUGAAUGUUCCGGUGAGCUCUUCGGACUGCGCGGUCUGCAGUUUCUGCGUUCCGUGCGGAAAGUUGCGCAAACCUUAACAUUUAGAGGAAGGAGUAGUCGUAACA